AUGAACGCUGGCGGCGUGCCUCAUACAUGCCAGUCGCGCGAACAGACGAGGAGCUUGCUCCUCUGACGUUAGCGGCGGACGGGUGAGUAACACGUGGAUAACCUACCUAUAAGACUGGGAUAACUUCGGGAAACCGGAGCUAAUACCGGAUAAUAUAUUGAACCGCAUGGUUCAAUAGUGAAAGACGGUUUUGCUGUCACUUAUAGAUGGAUCCGCGCCGCAUUAGCUAGUUGGUAAGGUAACGGCUUACCAAGGCAACGAUGCGUAGCCGACCUGAGAGGGUGAUCGGCCACACCGGAACUGAGACACGGUCCAGACUCCUACGGGAGGCAGCAGUAGGGAAUCUUCCGCAAUGGGCGAAAGCUUGACGGAGCAACGCCGCGUGAGUGAUGAAGGUCUUCGGAUCGUAAAACUCUGUUAUUAGGGAAGAACAAAUGUGUAAGUAACUAUGCACGUCUUGACGGUACCUAAUCAGAAAGCCACGGCUAACUACGUG
RNAcentral lists this ribosomal RNA (496 nucleotides) under uncultured bacterium. Its description in RNAcentral is "partial 16S ribosomal RNA". It matches the Rfam family "Bacterial small subunit ribosomal RNA", at positions 29 to 507 of the family's 1533-position model. The record is from RNAcentral.